Musa acuminata AAA Group (dessert banana) is the source of this 3555-nucleotide long non-coding RNA. RefSeq lists it as uncharacterized. NCBI's taxonomy places the organism in Eukaryota, Viridiplantae, Streptophyta, Magnoliopsida, Zingiberales, Musaceae. The record is from RefSeq and is a predicted model, not a curated record. The transcript is spliced from 2 exons.
ACGGCCGGGCGCUGGCAGGCUAUCUUCCUGCACAGGUAGUGCACGACGAGCUCCUCGUCGGUGGGGUGGAACCGGAACCCCGGUGGCAGGUUGAGCUCGGCCUCAGCAUCUCUCUUCCUUCCCAUCCUCGUGUCUCCUGGGAAUGGAUGGGUCGCAGCAACCACGUGUAGGAUCCGGGAAGCUUCGCGUGAGGCGGCCGACUGCAUUGGUCAAGGUGGCGAAGACCAACGUGCUGUUGCCCGCAGACACCUACCCAUGCUGGAACCAAUCCGUUCAGUUCAGGUAAAUUUACAUAUUAAUGCAUAAUUCAUAUUAUAUUAUAUUCAUUUAUGCAUAAUUCACCUUAAUGCUCUAUAUUUUGAUUUCAUUUCUGUGUUUUCAUCGUUUCAUAUCAAAUUUGUUUUUUUGCUACAUUUAGUAUGAAUUUUCAUGUAUAAAUUGCAUGAAGACAAGAUGGAAUUUGGAGUUGAAGGGACUAGCACUGUUAAUUACGCAGCCGUUGUGCAAGGAGGGGGGGAUUCACGACGUGAAUAUGUACGUCUGUCUCCCUCGCUCAGAACCCUUCAGCUCACGUAAGGGAUCAGGAUCGACAACGAGCUAGGGUUUCAUGGAGAACAUGGAAUGAUGACACAUGGAUCCAUUGGACCUGGAGAUGGCGAAAAGAGACAAGGAAGUGGAAAGGUGACACAGUUACGGGGUUCGUGAUGAGUAUAUCCCCAGUUAAAACCUUGCGAGGCGGUGCCAUCACCCGUUAGGGGGUUUCUGGAUGUCACUGUCGAGACGCCCUAUCGCCAUGCCCGUGCAUUGCAUCUGGGCGCCUUUCAUUUCCGGACGGUACGUCUCUUUCUUGUCCACCAAGCAAAGCCACUCUUGCAUUAUGCAUCGCAUAAUUCUUUGAUUAGUUAGGUACUUUAGAUGAUGAAUCAUAUGGGCCCAGUCACUAGUGUCGAAAGGAACACAAAGUCAUACGACCGGGGAUUAAUGCGGCGGCUGUAGAAAAUUCUCGGCCGACGCCAAGGAUUCCGAUGCGAGAAAACCUUGGGUAAAAGGGCAUGACCUCGGAGCAGUCGAGUCCUUUUCGUUGACGCUUUCAUUUCUGUCACGUGUGGGUUGAUUUUGACAACCUGUAUUCACACCACUUUUUUUAUUCGAUUUUAGAACAUCGGACAGCAAAUUACUUGUUGGUCACGUGUCCUCUGAGUAUAGAAGAAAGGAAAAGGUCUCCCCUUUCUCUUUCUUAAAGGAAAAAGAAAGAAGCCAACGUUGUACUUUGGAGAGUUUUUUUUUUAAAUAUAAAAUAUUCACAUUCUAGAUAUUUCUCGUAUCUUCUAUUUUACUUUUUCUCAAAUAAUAUUUUUUUUUAUCUGUUACAAUAUAAAUAAUAUCACGUAUAGUGUCUUUCUAAUAAUGUUUACAAUGUUUUCAACAGUCAAUAAAACAUUGUAAACGUUAUUGGAAAACAUUAUAAACAAGUCAAAUAAAAAAUAUAAUAAUAAUUAAAAAUAGAUAAAAAUAAUAAUAAAAAUAAAAAUAAAACAUUGUAAACUUAUAGUGUUGUUUUUCCCUUCAUAUUGAUAAUUUUCGAUGGCAUACUUGUCUAAACACGUGGGUGGACCACGUGAUGUGGCCGUCCCACAGGAGCGUCGCUGUUUGAGUUCAGCCAUUGGAUGGAUUACGCGAGCGAUAGCAGAUCGUGAUGACAAUGUUUCACGACGAAUAGUUUGUGUGUCCUUAUCAAUGUGUUGGCUUUAAUUGCUUUGGUCAAAUGACAGCACCAACGCGUCGCAUCAAAUUGGUUCGUGUCGGGCCGAGAUGUUGAAUCUGGCCCAUUUGGAUUUGAUCGUUUGCAGCGCCGUUCACAUUUGAGCUACUUGAUGAUCUUUGUCUUGUUAAGAUCUUAAAUAGGAUGAUUAGCUAAAUAAGAUUUUAGUGGGAAUUCAAUUAAAGGUGUAACUCCUUUUUUCCCCCCUUAAUUUUUUGAAAAUUAAGAUAUUUUUUUUAUUAGUCAUCUUCUUUUUUUUAACAUGAAUAAUGCUGCACAUUUAUCGUGCUUAUAAUCAUCUGACUUAAACAAGUCAGAUCAUGUUAAAUCAAUCAAGGAUGACAGCAUUAAUGUCUUAUCAUAUGUGAAGCAUGAUUGUUGAAUUUAUUUGAUGAAGUGCUCCUCAACGCUUCUUACGUGCAACACAUUCAGAUCAUUCAUCCUAUAUUCCUCAUAAAAUACGAGAUGUCAUCAUCAAAGCUGACCAAAUUUAGAUCACUGGGAUAAUUUUCCCCAAACAUGAUCAUGAUUUAUUCAUCAAGGUGGUAUCUUUGACAUGCCCCCACCCUCACUGCCAAGUCAUGGUGGUGCCAAGAAAUGCCACAUAUACCAAGGUUGUAGAGGAAGGCUUGGUAGGUGGGACAGUGUUUGUGAUGGAUGACCUGAUUAAGAAGAAACGAUUUGCCACCUACUACUACUACUACUACGAGAGAGAUUCUACCCCACUAAGCCGGUGGAUGGUACACUCGGAGCCAAGCCCCCUUCUGCCUCCGCCGUCCAUGUGGUUGGUCACAGCUUCGCUGCAUUCCCACCAAUGUUAAGAUUGACGUUGGUGAGGACAAGACAAGUGGGAUUGGCAUCCAAUUAGCCUCCGACUGGUGGUAGCGGUCUAUGAAACGUAGUCAUCCAAGAUGAUUUGUUCUUGGCAGAAGAGUUUGAGACCAAGAUUUGUCCUCGGAAUGUGAUUGCUGUGACAGGAGAUGGUCCAUAGAUGUAGGUUUUGGCUGAUAAAUGUGAUUGUAAUGUGUUGCUAUAUCCCAGCUCAGAUCUUUGUCAUGGCAUUUAACACUUGGUGAGAAUGAUCAUGAGGUGAGCUCUUGAUAUGAAUGAUCUAAGUGGACGUCGGUAAGAUUUCCAAGUCUUCUAUGAUAAAGCUGAAAACAAGAUUUAGUGUUGCCACUUAUAUCUCCUUCGUUCGACGCUGGAUGCUGCGGUCAAGACAGUGUCCAAUGACUUGCUUCAUAAACAAUGACAGCGGCCAAAUUUACCGACUUUUCAGGAGAGAAGAGUCGUCAAGGGAUUAGGAUAUUUUCCUACCAAAUUUAGAGCAGGCAUUCAUGGUGGUGCUCAUGCAUGUCAAUCAAUCUGUGGCAGAAUGCACAUUCAUUUGCUAACAAAGCAUGUUAAUGCAACUUUUAAGUGUAGAAAGUCUAGAAACAAUUUCUGUGUCAGCAGUGUUUUCUAGUCUGAAGUGUUAUAGUGGCCCUCUAAAGCUGCCAUGCUUACUUAACAUUGAUUGCUGGGGGAGCUUUCGAGUCACUGCUGUAGCCUUUGACUUCCUGCAAGCAGAUCUAAAUUGUCAGUCGUGCCUAUCCAUUUCAACCUUCUACUCUUUAACUUAGACGAUGUCAUGACUGCAACUUGCAAGACACGGCCACAAAUAAAAGUAGGACCGAAGCCAUGAGGUUCUUUAGAUGCAUACACACUUGCUGAAACUUUUAUGGGGGCUUCUAAGCUUUUCUCUGGGAAUAGAUAAAGACGACCUUUUCUUUUUGGUCGGCAUAAUUUGUCAA